Long non-coding RNA from Bolinopsis microptera, 996 nucleotides. RefSeq lists it as uncharacterized. The transcript is spliced from 3 exons. The record is from RefSeq and is a predicted model, not a curated record. Lineage: Eukaryota; Metazoa; Ctenophora; Tentaculata; Lobata; Bolinopsidae.
GAAUGGAAUACCUUGGCUCUUUCCAUUUAAUAUUAUAAUGGCUCCUGCUCAUACCUUGUAUCAUUUGUCCAAGGGCUAUACGAAUCGGAGGAAAACAAAGGUGAAAGAACAAUUGGAUUACGAUUUAUGUUUAGAAAAUAAUAAAGACCUUGAAGAACAUUUUGAUCCGGAACACACAGAAACAGACGGUAAAUCACAAGAACUUCCAUCGAGUUUGGAAAAUGAAUCGGCACUACAUGAACUCAAGAUGAGAUAUCUUUUAAUCAAUCAGCUCGCCAAAAGAGUUGACCUAUCUAAAUUCUAAAUUCUUGUACUUGUAGUUAAUAUAACUGCAACUGCAGGAGUAUACGUUGCGACUUAAAAACUCUUCUAAUACUAAUUCUAAUAGAUCGUUCACAUGUUACAAAAGCUAUUUUAGAGUUAGGGGGAGGGGCCGGUCUGAAAAAGUUUACGUCAGUGUAAUUUCUACGCGAUAGAUAUACAAAAUAGCUAAUAGUAAUAAAGUAAUAUCCUAAUCACUAAUAUGUAUAAAUUGAUAUACAUAUUAGUGAUUAGGAUAUUACAUAGUCAUACGUCAUACAUUAUAUGUGUGUAAAUGGGUUUACAGAAAGUGGCCCUUUUAAAAAAAUCUCGAAGAUCGACUGUAAAGUGAUUUAGCACGCUCGAAUAUUAAUAUAUUACGUUUUCACUUUUUGGAGCAUAAAUGAUAACGGGUGAUACUUGUAAUAUAUUUGUUUCAAGACCAUCGAGUAUCGACGAGUCCAACUCGGCGCACGUUUAGAUUAUAAACCUACAACAUAAAUGAUGACGUAUUUUUUAACAUGUGAACACUGAACGACCCAUAUUCAUAAAUGAUUGCAAAACAAAUAAAAUUAGUUUGUGUUUAUUAUCCAAGAUCAUUGAAACGAAAAUUUAAAUGCAAACUUUUGCAAACUUUUAACGAGCGAUUUGUGUUAGUGACAGUGUUAUACUUGUUAUACAUUUAAUUUUGUUAUA